Molecule: ribosomal RNA, 468 nt
Filed under: uncultured bacterium
Lineage: Bacteria
Description: partial 16S ribosomal RNA
Rfam family: Bacterial small subunit ribosomal RNA
Source: RNAcentral
GACGAACGCUGGCGGCGUGCUUAACACAUGCAAGCCGAACGGAAAGGCCCUGCUUUUGUGGGGUGCUCGAGUGGCGAACGGGUGAGCAACACGUGAGUAACCUGCCCUUGACUUUGGGAUAACUUCAGGAAACUGGGGCUAAUACCGGAUAGGAGCUCCUGCUGCAUGGUGGGGGUUGGAAAGUUUCGGCGGUUGGGGAUGGACUCGCGGCUUAUCAGCUUGUUGGUGGGGUAGUGGCUUACCAAGGCUUUGACGGGUAGCCGGCCUGAGAGGGUGACCGGCCACAUUGGGACUGAGAUACGGCCCAGACUCCUACGGGAGGCAGCAGUGGGGAAUAUUGCACAAUGGGCGGAAGCCUGAUGCAGCAACGCCGCGUGCGGGAUGACGGCCUUCGGGUUGUAAACCGCUUUCGCCUGUGACGAAGCGUGAGUGACGGUAAUGGGUAAAGAAGCACCGGCUAACUACGUG